AGAGAGAGAGAGAGAGAGAGAGAGAGAGAGAGAGAGAGAGAGAGAGAGAGAUUAUCUUAUGCUAAUCUGAUCAGGGGUACUGUAAGAAUUUAUAUCGACAACUUACCACACUUGGUGAUUACAGAUUUUUUUUUUAAGUAUGGGGCAGUAGUUGAUGCUUUCAUUGCAAACAAGAAGAGUAAGAGGUAUCAGUCGAAAUUUGGUUUCAUUAGAUUUUCAACUUUGGAGGAAGUUUGGGGGGGGGGGAUAAAUUUCUUGGAUGACAUUAUUGGAGAGAAAAAUUUACUGGUGAAAAUGGCAUCUUAUGGUGCGUCAAACAAACUAACUAGCAGGAGUGGAAGCCAUGGGGGUACUGAGAUGUUCAGGAGAAGCGCGAUAAAUUUCUUGGAUGACAUUAUUGGAGAGAAAAAUUUACUGGUGAAAAUGGCAUCUUAUGGUGCAUCAAACAAACUAACUAGCAGGAGUGGAAGCCAUGGGGGUACUGAGAUGUUCAGGAGAAGCAAACAAUUGGGCUGGUCGAGAUUAUUCAGCAAAGAAGUUAGUAAGGAUGGACUAGGAGAAACUGGGGUGCAGAGAACAAACUGUAAGGAGGUCGAUGGAGGAAUGGGGAGAACUUUUGCAGAAAUGGUCACAGGUUAGAAGUGAAUUCCAAGAUAAUAUAGGUGAAGGAGAAGUUAGUGGGAAUGAGUUGCUUGACAGAAGUGCAAUGGCUACUCUUCACUCACCACCAUCAAUGGAGUCCAUCAAGGAGGUUCUGCAUUGUGAAGGAGUCCCAAAUAUUCAAGUAAGAGACAUGGGUGGUCUUAAUGUGAUUGUAACUUUUCCAUCCAUUCCUGUUAUGAACUCGAUGAUUAAAGGGGGAAGUCUCAGCUGAUUCAGUAAGUGGUUUGCGGAUAUCAAACCUUGGUGUCUAGAAGAGUCAAAUUCUGGGAGAAGAGCCAUAUGGCUCUCUUGCUAGGGGGUGCCCAUUAGUGUUCGGAAUGCUGCAGCCUGCAAGUUUUUUUAAGAUUGGACAGAGAUGGGAGAGAGGUAAUAGCUCUGGAUGAUGCUACAAUGAAGUGCUUAUCUUUUUCUUCAUGGAAAGUUAUGAUCACCACAGAGGUCUGGGAAGUGGUGAACAAAGUAAUUCAAUUAGAAAUCAAUCCUAAGAUGUUUGAUGUGGGGGUGGUGGAAGAGCAAGUGGUCAUCACUGGGCACGUGGUUGAAAAUUGCAGCUCCAAAGGUAAUCCAGAAGGAGAUGACAGGGUAACAUGACUCAGUUGAUGAGCUGGACUCAAGACCUGUGAUACGGCACCAAGUAGGAGUGGUGUGUAACUGAGGUGCUGAGUUGGUGGAGUGGCUUGUAACUGAUAAAAUCCAAAGCCAGGAAAGUAUGUAAAGAGUGAAGUAAUUAAGUUGGGGAGAGUGAAAAUCCAACUCCAUUUUCAAUAAUUACAGAGUAAGACCCUCAAAUGUGCAUGUUUUCGUAUUUCAUGUUGCCUUUGUAAUGUUUGAAACUGAUUCUUUUAUGUUGCGUUGAUGUUGGCAACAUAGAGGAAAAUGGAUGAAGCUAACCUACAUCAUCAGUUGCAAUGAUGCUUUGUGUUGCUUCUUGAAGAAACAAGAGAAAUGACUAGCUCUAUACCUUUCCACAGCUUUGAAUCACACGCAAGUUCUACAGGUUUUUCUUUUCCUUUACUUUUUUGAUUGCAUGAUGUAGGGGGUACUAACUCCGAAUUUCCAUUUUCAACGUUGCAUUUACACUUCAUAAUAGUUCAUAUACCUAGUUGAAUAUACUGCUUACUUGGGCAAUGCCUUUUGGACAGAUCACAGGCUUACACCAGUCACUUGCCUCGGAAAAGUAUCAACAAGAGCAGUUUUUGAUUUUUUGAUACAGCUUUCUGUUUGGACACUUUGAAGAGAGAGCGGGAGUGGGAGAGAGGGAGAGACUUGACAGAGAUCGUAACCCACAACCUGUAAGUUCAUUCUCAGCAAGUCAAGCCCAUAACACAAAGUUCUUAUUUUCUUCUUCUCUUGCCUUCCUUUUGUCGUUUCCUUUUGAAUUGCUCAUUACUCCCCUUUUUCGCUAGGUCGUCUUUCUCUUUUAACUUCUCUUCCUAGUCAAUUGCUUUCUUCCUUUUGGUAAUAAACCCAUCUUGAUAGAAAUCAAUCAGGCAAAACGUUUGGUUUCUCUAAACCUUGCGAAAUCUUUUUUUGGCUGCUUUUCAUUCAUAUAUUUGCCAUUAGUGAAGGAUGUUGGGAGGACCGGCAUUUAUUGUUCCAUCAGAUUUUAUGGUUUUUAAUUUUGCAUUAGCAUUCUGCAACACUUUUGAAAGGGCAGUUCUGCUAUUUCAAUACUUGUACGUUCUACCAUCAUAGUGUCUGUCUAUUACUCCCACGAAGGUAUGCAUUCAUGGGUCAAAAAGUUUGACAUCAACUCAAUAUCUGUUUCUAUUGUUUUCUGGACAUAAAUUUGUUGUCUUACAAUAGGUAUUUUGUUUCCUUUUGUUUGUUUCAUGGCCAUUUAUGAUCUUUUCAGUUGUAGUUUUUUUGGUUAUAAUCUUCAUAUCGCUUGGCAAAUAUUUGAUUUUGCCGCCAUCUUUUUUUUAUAGUUACUUUGCGUGAGUAUGAAUUUGAAUAUCAUUAGGGCCUUGACGGAGAUCAUGAGGAUGUGAAUGCUCCAGUCGCUUCUCCCCCUUCUUCUCCUAUAUUGGUCCCUCUUGCACUCGUACUGCAUACAUGGUGAUCAUUAUUAUGUCCAGUUCUUUGUAUGGUUUCUUUCAUGCCCUUUUGUGCUAUGAACACUAUUUGGAUACCCAUGUCUCUGGUAGCUUUGAGGUCCUUGUGCUGACUGCUGAGUAAAAAAAACCAUUUUUUAUUGUGCCAUCUCUUCUCUCCGCUCCUUCUAUGAUGAUGUUGGGUAUUUCUUUUCCUACUCAUGGUAUGGUGUUUAGCUCGAUGUUGGAUUAUGAUGCUUAUAGUGUUAUGCUGGGGGGCUAUCGUUGAUGGUUACAGAAAACGAAGAGGGUGGUUUACCAUGAGCACGAAGUGCCAAAAAGAGCUUCAACAGAAUGCGCCAACACACAACAGACACGUGUACAAUACUCGAAUCAAAUACUUAUUCCCUCAAAUAUGCCUUAAACAUGUGUUAGCAGGUUGUUAAUUUUUUCCCCACCGAUUGUAAUAUUUAUCUCAAUAGCUUUAUUCAUUUUCUUCAUGAUCUCUUGCACGCAAGUAUAAACAACUCAUACAGGAAAAGGAGGAAUGGGCUGAACUAAAAAGACAGGUGCAGUUGGGUUGGCAAUAGAAAGAAA
Long non-coding RNA from Rhododendron vialii, 3293 nucleotides. RefSeq lists it as uncharacterized. The transcript is spliced from 2 exons. The record is from RefSeq and is a predicted model, not a curated record. Lineage: Eukaryota; Viridiplantae; Streptophyta; Magnoliopsida; Ericales; Ericaceae.